AUGUAAAAUGACUAUCGGCAACGGAUAUCUCGGCUCUUGCAUCGAUGAAGAACGUAGCGAAAUGCGAUACUUGGUGUGAAUUGCAGAAUCCCGUGAACCAUCGAGUCUUUGAACGCAAGUUGCGCCCAAAGCCAUUAGGCUGAGGGCACGCCUGCCUGGGUGUCACAC
Molecule: ribosomal RNA, 168 nt
Filed under: Phaseolus acutifolius (tepary bean)
Lineage: Eukaryota; Viridiplantae; Streptophyta; Magnoliopsida; Fabales; Fabaceae
Description: 5.8S ribosomal RNA
Rfam family: 5.8S ribosomal RNA
About the family: 5.8S ribosomal RNA (5.8S rRNA) is a component of the large subunit of the eukaryotic ribosome. It is transcribed by RNA polymerase I as part of the 45S precursor that also contains 18S and 28S rRNA. Functionally, it is thought that 5.8S rRNA may be involved in ribosome translocation.
Source: RNAcentral